Molecule: long non-coding RNA, 185 nt
Organism: Oncorhynchus tshawytscha (Chinook salmon)
Lineage: Eukaryota; Metazoa; Chordata; Actinopteri; Salmoniformes; Salmonidae
Exons: 3
Source: RefSeq, a predicted model, not a curated record
GUCUUAGGGCUGGGAGGAGGACCUGCUGCCUGAGGAGAGGGAGGUUCCUCUGCUAAACCUCUACCUUACCACCAAGAGAGUGGAGGACAUCGCCCUGAGGCUCGUCUCCCUGCGCCAGGCCUUCACUACCCUGCUUGGUUCCACCCUGAGCAGGAACCAUCUGUUUGUGGCGGGAAAGGACCUCC